UCGAGAAUCUUCGGCAAUGGGCGCAAGCCUGACCGAGCGACGCCGCGUGGAGGACGAAGGCCUUCGGGUUGUAAACUCCUGUCGAGGGGGAGGAAGGGGCAACCUUGACCGAUCCCUGGAGGAAGCACGGGCUAAGUUCGUGCCAGCAGCCGCGGUAAGACGAACCGUGCGAACGUUAUUCGGAAUCACUGGGCUUAAAGCGCGUGUAGGCGGGCCGCCACGUCGAACGCUGAAAUCCCCCGGCUCAACCGGGGAACGGGCAUCGAUACGAGCGACCUGGAGGGAGGUAGGGGGGGCUGGAACUUCCGGUGGAGCGGUGAAAUGCGUUGAGAUCGGAAGGAACGCCCGUGGCGAAAGCGAGCCCCUGGACCUUUUCUGACGCUGAGACGCGAAAGCUAGGGGAGCGAACGGGAUUAGAUACCCCCGUAGUCC
RNAcentral lists this ribosomal RNA (432 nucleotides) under uncultured bacterium. RNAcentral describes it as "bacterial SSU rRNA". It matches the Rfam family "Bacterial small subunit ribosomal RNA", at positions 355 to 796 of the family's 1533-position model. The record is from RNAcentral.